Molecule: long non-coding RNA, 439 nt
Organism: Mercenaria mercenaria
Lineage: Eukaryota; Metazoa; Mollusca; Bivalvia; Venerida; Veneridae
Exons: 3
Source: RefSeq, a predicted model, not a curated record
GGAAUGGCGACGUGUUUCUUUUUCAAAUACGGAUUAAGUUUUGCUUUACUCUGUUUUUGUUUUAAAGGUUCAGACACACAGUGUAGUUCUAGCAACCAUUUUGGACCAAACUGUGACUUCGAGUGCCAUUGUAUGAAUAAUGAACAAUGUAACAGCAGCACAGGAAACUGUCCCUCAGGUUGUGACUUUGACUGGGUAGGGCCUGGAUGUCAAAGAAACAAUAUAAUACCUGCAGGGGAGAAGGAUCAAAGCGAAAUGGUGACACGUCACCUAAGUAAUAUACCACAGAGACGACUUGCUCUGCUGGCUGUUGAUAGAGAUUUAUUGACAUGUAGUCAAACAAACUUUGCAAAUAUGUCAAGGCACAUUCCUUGGUGGAGACUCUGGCUUAAAGAUAAAUACAAAAUCAGGAAUAUCUCUUUUAUUACAAGCAAAGAGU